UGGGGAAUAUUGGACAAUGGGCGAAAGCCUGAUCCAGCCAUGCCGCGUGUGUGAAGAAGGUCUUCGGAUUGUAAAGCACUUUAAGUUGGGAGGAAGGUCAGUAAGCGAAUACCUUGCUGUUUUGACGUUACCGACAGAAUAAGCACCGGCUAACUCUGUGCCAGCAGCCGCGGUAAUACAGAGGGUGCAAGCGUUAAUCGGAAUUACUGGGCGUAAAGCGCGCGUAGGUCGUUCGUUAAGUUGAAUGUGAAAGCCCCGGGCUCAACCUGGGAACUGCAUCCAAAACUGGCGAGCUAGAGUAGGGCAGAGGGUGGUGGAAUUUCCUGGGUAGCGGUGAAAUGCGUAGAUAUAGGGAGGAACACCAGUGGCGAAGGCGACCACCUGGGCUCAUACUGACACUGAAGUGCGAAAGCGUGGGGAGCAAACAGG
Molecule: ribosomal RNA, 429 nt
Filed under: Pseudomonadota bacterium
Lineage: Bacteria; Pseudomonadati; Pseudomonadota
Description: Proteobacteria bacterium partial 16S ribosomal RNA
Rfam family: Bacterial small subunit ribosomal RNA
Source: RNAcentral